CCUUCCCGCCCCCACGUCGCGCAGGUGUGGCGUCCAGCGGCCCCGUCUCGCUGCUCCUCCCACCUAGCCCGCGGCUCCGCCCCGCCGUCUUUCCCCUCAGCCGGGUCUACCUGGAAAAGCUUGACGGCCCAGAGCCCUACCGGAGGCUUGACGGCGGGUGCGGAGAGCCGACCUGAAGACGGCCCGGCUGAGCGCCCUAGGCCCGGCACCCAGACUGGACCGGCCUCGCCUCGUCCAAGACUCCCGCCCUCCGGAGGAAGCCGCGCAAUCACUCUGGGGGCGGGGAGAGAAAGACAGCUGAAAGGAAGGAGGCACCACCAGGCCUCUCUCGCGAGAGGGCCGAAGAGCCGCCUUGAACGGGGGCGUGUGCCUGGUGAGGAGCCGAAAGGUCUUCGGAAGGCUGGGAUGUAGGGUUCGGCGCCCUUGUUGACGUUGUUGGGGGAUCCUCGGACUUGCAGGUGGAAGCGGGUUCUCUCGGCUUGCGGUCGGGGGGCGCGGAAUCGGCUGUGCCGCCUGCCCCCUCGGGGCUCCCUGGACCCCGGGACUUGGGAACGUAGCAACGAGGACUGUAGGGGAUGGGGCGUGAGGUGCCGCCGGAAGGCCCGGGACGCGAGUGGAGGCGAGCCCCAGGCCUCGCGGAGUUGUCCGUGAGCCUGUGGGGAGGUCGAGGCCGCCGCCGCCGUGGCACGAUGAAUUUCCUCGCCCGCUAGGCCAUGUGAGAGUAUCCGCGGGACUCUGGUGCCCAGGGCUCGUUUUGCGGAUGCCCCAGGCCCAAGUAGUAGAGCAGAUCACUGGUGGGACACUUAGGGGCAUUGAACCGGGUGUUGUGUCCAGACGGACUCUCUAUGAGAAUAAACCCAUUAUGCCCUAGUUAUGUCUUAAUACCUGGGUGAUGAUGAUGUGGCCGCUCCGUGUUCCUGAGCGCACGCAGAAGCUGUCUUGGCCCACUAAGAAAAACAUUAACAGACGAGACCACCCAACCGGAAAGAAUCUUCUCUGGAAUUCGUCAGAUGAAACCUCCCGCACAGUAACUCAAAAGGUCCAAAAUCCAGAUUAUCAGCUCUUGAGUACUGACAGAAAGCUCACUGCUUGGGGCGCCUGGGUGGCUCAGUUGGUUGGACGACUGCCUUCGGCUCAGGUCAUGAUCCUGGAGUCCUAGGAUCGAGUCCCGCAUUGGGCUCCCAGCAUCAUGGGGAGUCUGCUUCUCCCUCUGACCUUCUCAUCACUCAUCUCUCUCACUGUCUCUCUCUCAAAUAAAUAAAUAAAAAUCUUUAAAAAAAAAAAAAAGAAAGAAAGAAAGAAAGCUCACUGCUUUACAGCAAAUGAUGAAUAAAUUAAUGAAGUGAGAAUUUUUUGCAUAAAGUUUGUCAGUUUGAGCCCUUUACCAAUUAUACACAUUUCAGCCUACUUAAAGAGAAGAAAUACUAUAAACACUUGACACCGUUAUGAAGCAUUUUAUAUUUUCAGCUUGAAGUUUGAGAGACACUGUGUGACUGAAGUAUGUCAUUCUUCUUAACUGAAUAAUCCCAGAACCUCCAGGUUGAUACUUGGAGAUUCUGCUAUUUGAAAAGUAGAUGGAUUAUGCAGCCCUGUUUUCUGAAAAUUCAUUUUGUCCUUGGAAUUAUUCUCUAUUUGCUGGCACUACUACUUGGCCUCAAAAUAUCAGCAUGUAACUUUUUCUUAAUACUUUGCAAUAUAGCUGAGAAGAGACUAAAUUUGAACUUAUAGCAAUAUAACUUAAAACUGGAACAUUAUAGGGGCACCUGGGUGACUCAGUGGGCUAAGCCUCUGCCUUUGGUUCAGGUCAUGAUCUCAGGGUCCUGGGAUGGAGCCCUGCAUCAGGUUCUCUGCUCAGCAGGGAGCCUGCUCCCCACCCCCCCACCCCACCCCCGCCUCUCUGCCUACUUGUGAUCUCUGUCAAAUAAAUAAAAUAUUUUUAAAAAACUAACAUUAUAAAUGGUUUAGGGUACUUAUUUAGGUUUAUAAAUUUAUAAUUUAGGGUAUUUAUUUAGAUGUAUGUUUAAAAAUACUUUUCAGGACGCCUGGGUGGCUUAGUGGGUUAAAGCCUCUUGCCUUCCGCUCAUGAUCCUAGGGUCCUGGGAUGGAUUCCCAAGUAAAUAAAUAAAUAAAUCUUUUUAAAAAACAAAAAUACUUUUCUAAUGGAAAAAGGUGAAUGAAUAUUAGAACCCACAAAAUAAGGGUAAUCUUAUGUACAAAGUAUAAUUACUUACUUUCAGCUUUUUCUGCAGAGAUGCUGCUUCCCUGUGGCAGAGGCCAUUUUUAAACCGGUCUUACCAUGGAAUAGCUCCUAGGCAAUUUCACUCUUUUUUUUUUUUUAAUUAAUUUAUUUGACAGACAGAAACCACAAGUAGGCAGAAAGGCAGGCAGAGAGGGGGGGGGAGGCAGGCUCCCCGCUGAGCAGAGAGCCUGAUGCAGGGCUCAAUCCCAGGACCCUGAGACCAUGACCCGAGCGGAAGGCAGAGGCUUUAACCCACUGAGCCACCCAGGCACCCCUAGGCAAUUUCACUCUUCUGUUCAGGACUGAGCACAGAGGAUAAAGGAGAGUUCUCUUGCUUGCCCAGGUAAAGGUUUCUCAGUUUCUGCCCUGAGUACAUUUUGAGCCAGUAAUUCUUUGUUGUGGGAAGCUGAUCUGAGUAUUGUAGGAUGUUCAGCAGCAUCCCUGGCUACCACCAAAUAUAUGCCAGUACUAUUCCACUCCUAGUUGUAAUAACCUAAACCCUCUGUAGACAUUACCAAAUGCCCCUGAGGGACAAAUCUGUGGCCCCUCCCUGCUGUCACUGAAAACCACCAGCCUAUAUCAGGGCUCUUCUCACAAUUCUGGUUAGCUGUCCAUCCCAGCUGAUGGUAGGAGUCAUUAAAGAGAGAACUCAAUUCCCCAGAGAAGUAUAGAACUGGUCUUAUGGGCCUCCACAAGAUUAACAUACCACUGUGUUUAAUAGUAACCCCAAAUAUAAAAUAGAUACUGCAGGGAUGCCUGGGUGGCUCAGUGGGUUAAGCCUCUGCCUUUGGCUCAGGUCAUCAUCUUGGGGUCCUGGAUCAAGCCCAGCAUUUGGCUCUCUACUCGGCGGGAAGCCUGCUUCCCCACCCUCUGCCUGACUCUCUGCCCUUCUUAUGAACUCUCUCUCUGUCAAAUAAAUAAAAUACUUUUAAAAAAAAGAUACUACAGUAUAAAUAGCAGAGUUUCAUUUUAGUACCUAAACAGUAAAUUACUACUACCAUUUUAUAGAUUAGCUUACCGAGUUUUAGAAUUAAAUCCAGAAAAAUAAAACAGGUCAAAAAGGAAAGAGCUGGUUCUUUGAAAUGAUCAAUAAAAUAUGGCAAAAUAAAAAUAGCUAAGAUUUUUAAAUCAGAAGAUGUGAAGAAUGAAAAAGGAGUUAGAUUCAGAGGGGUUUUUUUUUUUUUUUAAAAUAAGCUCUACACCCAGUGUGGGGCUUGAACUCAAAACUGACAAAUCAAGAGUCACAUGCUCUACUGACUGAGCCAGCCAGACACCCCUAAAGGGAAUUUUAUUUUUACUUUUUUAAAAGAUUUAUUUAUUAGAGCACAUGCAUGAGCACAAGCAAGGGGAGGUGGAGAGACAGAGGGAGAAGCAGACUCCCAGCUGAGCAGGGAGCUCAACAUGAUCCCAAGACCCUGGGGACAAUGUCCGGAGCUGAGGGCAGAUGCUUAACCACCUAAGCUACCCAGACACCCCAGGAAUUUUAAAUAUAAGAGAAUACUAUGUAUAAAAUAUUGAGCACCUACCACAUAAAAAACAGGCACUAUAUGAGUUGCUAAAGGUACUGUGGUUAACAGACCCAAUUUGUGAAACCUGUUUAACAGAAUACCAGAGAAAAAAGGGGUUGGCACCUCUAACCUCUGCACUGUUUAAGCUUCCACUGUAUAUUUUAUAUUAUGUGUGUUGUAGUAUGAUAUUUUUUGAAGGUAAACUGUGAUAAGUUCAAGAUUCAUAUGGUAAAACUUAGAACAGCUACAAUAAAACACAAAAGCAGCCAACAGAGAAAUUAAAAUGAAAUACUACUAAUUAAUCCAAAAGAAGACAAGAAGAAAAAGAUGUAGAUUGAACAAGUAGAAAAUGAUAUAUCAAAAACUAAAUUAAUUGUAAAUGGUCUAAACACUGCAAUUAAAAGGAAGACA
Long non-coding RNA from Mustela lutreola (European mink), 4158 nucleotides. RefSeq lists it as uncharacterized. The record is from RefSeq and is a predicted model, not a curated record. NCBI's taxonomy places the organism in Eukaryota, Metazoa, Chordata, Mammalia, Carnivora, Mustelidae. The transcript has 2 exons.